GGAGUAAAAGUCGUAACAAGGUUUCCGUAGGUGAACCUGCGGAAGGAUCAUUACUGAGUGAGGGCCCCUCGGGGUCCAACCUCCCACCCGUGUUUAACGAACCUUGUUGCUUCGGCGGGCCCGCCUCACGGCCGCCGGGGGGCAUCUGCCCCCGGGCCCGCGCCCGCCGAAGCCACCUGUGAACGCUGUCUGAAGUAUGCAGUCUGAGACAAUUAUUAAAUUAAUUAAAACUUUCAACAACGGAUCUCUUAGUUCCG
RNAcentral lists this unclassified non-coding RNA (257 nucleotides) under plant metagenome. RNAcentral describes it as "partial contains small subunit ribosomal RNA and internal transcribed spacer 1". The stretch from base 1 to 53 matches the Rfam family "Eukaryotic small subunit ribosomal RNA", at positions 1779 to 1831 of the family's 1831-position model. The record is from RNAcentral.